CACAGCUGCAGGUAAUUAAUGAAUUAACUCUGCCUUUCUCCUCCUCCCCAGCCUACAAAUAGAGGCCAGCGAUGGCUCAGAGCUUCUUCCAGAUGAGCUGGAGACAGCAAAGGAUUUUGGCCAGGCCUUCUUUAAGUUUCCUUGCUGAGCUUUCACUGUGAAGCCAAAUCUGCACUGUUUGGUGUCUGCAGCUUCGUUUCUGGGUCCAGGCAAUGGGAUGGAGAAAGGAUGGGGGUGAUCCAACAGCCAGCAUGGAAGACUCCAAGCAUCGCUGAGCACAGGGCUGACAGUAGAGGGACCCGAGCUGACCCAUUGACUCCCAGAACUUCAAAAUGUGCUCAGAGAGGUGAAACGCAGAGCCACCAAAACCACACCUUGGUCAGGAGCUCAGCAGCCCCUUCUCCUCCCCACGUGGAAUUAAUGAGAGAGAAAACUCAGAGAUACGAUGUGCUGGAAGUGCCACAGCUCCGUCGCCAUCCCUGUUGCUCCCAUUCGCCAGCAUCACGCACAGCAUCCCGAAUGCGUGACCUCGGCAAACGACACAUCGAGGCUGCUUAUCACGUGGCUGCUUAAGAGGUGCUUGCCUGGUGAAUGGCCUUGGCAUACAUUAAGUGAAUAAACCACGGCAUUGUUCGGCUCCUUCAGCCGCUCUGCUCAGUUGACCCACUCAAUAACUGUUUGUUUGCACAGAUUUCCCCGUACAAGUGCAACAAGCUGAACCCUGGAUCUGAGCAGAUGUGUUUGGAGUAGGCUCUCUCUCCUCGCUUCCUUCCCAUCAAGGUGUAUUGUUGUGUCUUUUGAGAGCUCCAGCUCUCACCAGCGUGACUCAUUCAGGCAAAAAUUUCCGUGCUGUUUUCAGGGACCCUCGAGAGCUUCCAGGCGUGCUUCUCUCUUCCGUGGCUGUAUGCUGAGCCUUCAACUAACCCAAAGCUUCCCCCUACGAGCUCUCCUCGUGUUUUGACCCAACGUAUCUGCACAAGAGAAGGCAGCAAUGCAGAGGGGUGCUGGAAGGUGCACCGCUGUUCCCUGAGGCCAGAAUCAUCCCAGGGCAUCCCAUUGAUGCUUCUAGGCUCCAGCUAAGCCCUUGUGGAAGGGCAGACCCUCACAAGCAACUUUGUUUCAGGGACUCCAUUUUCAGAUACAGGAUUUGCGCAGACACAGCACUUCUCCGUGUGGAAACCAGAGGUCGUUUGGCUUGUAAGUUUGUCUAGCAUAGGGCUUGCACUGCUUGUGCCUCGUGUCCUCUGCCCAGGAGCAGCAAAGUGCUGUGUAAAUGUCACGGAUUGAGGCUCAGCAGGCAAAACCCUCGUUGAUGCAGAGACAAAAGCACACGGAAAAAUCGUCUCCAGCAGUAAAAGUGAGGGGAUGUCUCCGGGUAUUUGAAGAAUGCGGGCAAUAGGUUGUGGAGAAGGGACCCAUCCUGCAAAACAAAGCAACAACAGCAAGAUACGGAGCACGUGAUGCUGCUGCCUGAAAUCAAAGUCAGCCCGAGAGAAACUAAAGCACUACUUCAAGAACGCCGGGUUAAUGCUGUUCU
RNAcentral lists this long non-coding RNA (1537 nucleotides) under Gallus gallus (chicken). RNAcentral's name for it is "lncRNA (ENSGALG00010025363.1)". Lineage: Eukaryota; Metazoa; Chordata; Aves; Galliformes; Phasianidae. The record is from RNAcentral.